This is a non-coding RNA of Paramuricea clavata, 715 nucleotides long. Lineage: Eukaryota; Metazoa; Cnidaria; Anthozoa; Malacalcyonacea; Plexauridae. The record is from the annotation of a GenBank genome assembly.
GCGGUUUGCAGUGCUUUUGUAGCGAUACAAAGGAUUUAAUCAAUGUUAAAGGCAGAAAAUAGCACAAUUAACAAAGAUGAUUGCUAGCUAAAAAACCACAGGCUAUUACACUGUUUAAAUUUAAAUAUUUGUUAUGCUUUUACAACAUAUACCUUCCCAUUGAUAUAAAUAAUUAAUUAUUCACAGUGUUUGGCACCAAAAGUUACUAAAUCCCAUCGCUCAAAAACUUUCGAAAGUUUUCGGAAACACGAGGAAAAGUUAAAAACAGAUUUUUAAUUAAACAUAAUUGAUAAUUCACUCAAAAAGUCAAGAAAUAGUGAAACUUUCGUCUGCACUAAUGCACUUGGAUGAAUAUUUAAGUUGUUCGGAAAAAAUCCUUAGAUUUUUUCUCUUCCUUGGAUUUUCCUUUUCGACACUAGAAUUUCCUUAGAAAAGGAAAUUUCCUUGAAAAUGGAAGCACUGACUUAGCCUCCCUUUGGCCUGCACGCGGGCUAACAAACACUGCAACCCGCCCUAUAAAAUUUUGAAUAUGAUUAACUCCGGGACGGACCAUUAGAUAUUUGGCGGGAGGGGGAGGGGGGGCAAUUUUUCUGUGCACGAAUUUUUUUUCAACCCCCAAUUGCUUGCAAGAAUUUUUUUUCUGCAACAUUCCUUUGGACAAUAUUUUUUUUAACAUAACCUAAAAAAUUUUUCCCAGAAAGUUCGUCGACGGGAG